Molecule: long non-coding RNA, 1233 nt
Filed under: Homo sapiens (human)
Lineage: Eukaryota; Metazoa; Chordata; Mammalia; Primates; Hominidae
Description: HSALNT0283346
Source: RNAcentral
AAAACCUGGCAUAGCGGCCAGCCUGGUGGGGUGGUGGCAAGGCAGGAGGGCCAGCUGGCUGCUGAGCUGAAUAGGACUGAUGACUCUGUUUCCCUGGUUGUCCUGUUUGAUGUUAAUCACCAGGCUGAGCAAGCUCUUCAACCAGACACAGCUGGCCCCCAGGGAAAUACGACAAGAGGCCAGGGAGGGUCUAGGUUAUUUGGAGUUAAAGACCUGCAGGACGGGGCAGAGUCAGGGGCAGGGAGUUUGAAGGAGGGGGUCAGAGGGUACAGAGAUGGAAAAAGAUGGUGAUGGAGGUCUCUAGUGAUGGCAGAUGGCAGAUGAAAGGGGAAGCUUGGGGACCAGCUGACCUCCAAGGUUCCUUUCAGCUGGAAAAACUGGUUCCAAGGGACACAGGAGUGAAGAGAUGAACUAACUGCCAGACAGGACCUUCAACAAACCGAAAGAGAGCCUCCCAGUCUCAGAGCUGUGGUCCAGCCACUGGGACACUUGCUGAGAUCCCAUCUAAGAUUUAGGGUCAGAGCUGGCAAGCAGAGAUACCAAAGGACACCAGUCUAGGGAAGGACAAACAGUGAGGUUCAGGCCUGGCAGUGAAGAAACCUCAACUGAGCCACAAUUUGCUGUGUGAUCUUAGAUGGGGAGCCUGAGGCCCAGAGAGGGCAAAGACAUGCUCAAAGUUGCACAGCAAGACAGCCAUGGAAGCAAGUUGGAACCCAGGGUUCUUGACUCUUCCCGGUAAGUGUCUUAUCCAGCUCAGUUCCACCCCUCACUGUGGACAAGAACCUCUACACUCCGCCGCACACACACACGCACACACAAACACAGGCUGUGCGCUAUGGCCUAGGGAAGCAGGCCCUUGGGAGUGAAGUGGGAGGCACCCAGAGGCUGAUGAGAGGCAGAGGCCAGGAUAAGGACGGAAACUGUGCCGCUGGGGUGAGCGUGGCAUUCGGAGGCGUGGAUGUGCGCUGGUUUUUUUGUGCCUUAGAGCCUCCAGCCCAUGCCUUGUGAGCCACCCUUGCAAGGGUGGGAGAGGCCAACGAGAAACGCCCAGGCUCACUAUUGAGGUCUUUACUGAUGCUUGAAGGGUUUGGAGGCCUCCAGCAAAGUCACUGACCCACCCCCUGGAUUUUCGUCGCACUCGUACCCUUCAGGUGUCCAAAGGUCCACCCCGUGCACCCUUUCCCCCAGUUUUCUAGACCGCCGCUGCGGCCGGGUGAGCCAAGGGCCAUGGCC